Cercocebus atys (sooty mangabey) is the source of this 99-nucleotide ribosomal RNA. The record is from Ensembl. NCBI's taxonomy places the organism in Eukaryota, Metazoa, Chordata, Mammalia, Primates, Cercopithecidae.
AUCUAUCGCCAUAACACCCUGACCUUUGAAGCUAAGCAAUGUCGGGUCGGGUCAGUACUUCGAUGGGAGACCACCUGUGAAUACCAGGGGCAGUAGAUU